GGACAGAAAGACCCUAUGAAGCUUUACUGUAGUUUGGAAUUGGGUUCGGGCUCUUCUUGCGCAGCCUAGGUGGGAGGCUAUGAAGAUAAACUUUUGGGUUUAUUGGAGCCAACAGUGAGAGACCACUCUAGAGGAGCUAGAAUUCUAAUGGCGUUCCUUGAAGCAGGACGCUUGACAGUUUCAGAUGGGCAGUUUGACUGGGGCGGUCACCUCCUAAAAGGUAACGGAGGUGUGCAAAGGUUCCCUCAGGCUGGACGGAAAUCAGCUGUAGAGUGUAAAGGCAGAAGGGAGCUUGACUGCAAGACCUACAAGUCGAGCAGGGGCGAAAGCCGGCCUUAGUGAUCCGACGGUUCCGAGUGGAAGGGCCGUCGCUAAACGGAUAAAAGUUACUCUAGGGAUAACAGGCUGA
This 409-nucleotide ribosomal RNA is filed under the name uncultured organism. RNAcentral's name for it is "bacterial LSU rRNA". It matches the Rfam family "Bacterial large subunit ribosomal RNA", at positions 2078 to 2485 of the family's 2925-position model. The record is from RNAcentral.